UGGAAGCACAAAUCGGAGACCAAUCAGCUCAAUGGACUGCUUGCUUUGAAUUUCUUAAGAAAGGCUUGUUUUCUUUUAAGUGUACGUGAAAGGGAAUACAUUCCUCGCUGUCGUCUGAUUGCAACAAUUAGUUUCCCUGCCACGAAGAAUCACAAGCGGAGCAUUGACUCCUGCUGGCCUCCCGCCCACCAGUGUGCCAAGAAACAGUCCAUUUUGAAAACACGGUGUGCCUUUGAGGGAGAAGCUGAAUACUUUCUCCCAUUAAGUCGGGCAACAGGCAGCUUAUCGGCCAUUUUCGCGCAAUCAAUUCUCUUGGCGACCCAAGGGCACCGUCCGCUGAAAUUUACACAAUGCCCUUCGUUUCAGCAGGGCUUGCACAGGGACCUGCAGUGCACAGGAAGGAAGGGGAGAGAGAGAGGCUGUAAAUGUGAUAAGGAACCUCAAGGGAAGGAUAUUGCUAUGGAACAGCAUCAUGGCUUAUUGCUCGUUUCAAAAAGAAAAAGAAAGAAACACCAACUUUUCCAAACCCAAGACUGAACAUGAAGUCUGAAUGGCCUGCCCUGGCUAUUUGGCCCACAACUAGGAUAGAGAUAUUUUUUAUUUUUGCAAUGGAGAGCAAGUUAAGAAGCACUGUAAAUAAACUCCAAUGACAGGUUUGCAACCUGAAGUCAUCCUAGGCUUCUGCUGUCCUCUAGGGGGCAUCUGUAGACUGGAAAGUUCAAGAGGCAGGGAGUCAUCAGUACGUCUCUGUGCAGAAGGAGGCAGGGCCUUCAGCAUCCCUGCCAGAUGCAAUACUGCUGCUGCAACAUGCCUUACUGUAGCAGCAGCAACAUCUUGGUAGCUCAAUUGGUAGAGCAUGAGACUCUUAAUCUCAUGGGUCAUGGGUUCAAAUCCCACGUUGGGCAAAAGAUUCCCACAUUGUU
This 923-nucleotide long non-coding RNA is filed under the name Podarcis muralis (Common wall lizard). Its description in RNAcentral is "lncRNA (ENSPMRG00000009485.1)". The stretch from base 839 to 897 matches the Rfam family "tRNA", at positions 8 to 63 of the family's 71-position model. Lineage: Eukaryota; Metazoa; Chordata; Lepidosauria; Squamata; Lacertidae. The record is from RNAcentral.